AGAGCGAACGCUGGCGGCAUGCUUAACACAUGCAAGUCUCACGGGCAGCAAUGUCAGUGGCGGACGGGUGAGUAACGCGUAGGUAUCUAUCCUUGGGUGGGGGAUAACGUUGGGAAACUGACGCUAAUACCGCAUGACACCUGUGGGUCAAAGGCGCGAGUCGCCUGGGGAGGAGCCUGCGUACGAUUAGCUUGUUGGUGGGGUAAAGGCCUACCAAGGCUACGAUCGUUAGCUGGUCUGAGAGGAUGAUCAGCCACACUGGGACUGAGACACGGCCCAGACUCCUACGGGAGGCAGCAGUGGGGAAUAUUGGACAAUGGGCGAAAGCCUGAUCCAGCAAUGCCGCGUGUGUGAAGAAGGUCUUCGGAUUGUAAAGCACUUUCGGCGGGGACGAUGAUGACGGUACCCGCAGAAGAGCCCGGCUAACUCGCGCAGCAGCCGC
RNAcentral lists this ribosomal RNA (442 nucleotides) under uncultured bacterium. RNAcentral's name for it is "SSU rRNA". It matches the Rfam family "Bacterial small subunit ribosomal RNA", at positions 26 to 518 of the family's 1533-position model. The record is from RNAcentral.